This 307-nucleotide unclassified non-coding RNA is filed under the name plant metagenome. RNAcentral's name for it is "partial contains 5.8S ribosomal RNA, internal transcribed spacer 2, and large subunit ribosomal RNA". The stretch from base 1 to 105 matches the Rfam family "5.8S ribosomal RNA", at positions 50 to 154 of the family's 154-position model. The record is from RNAcentral.
GAAAUGCGAUAAGUAAUGUGAAAUGCAGAAUUCAGUGAAUCAUCGAAUCUUUGAACGCACAUUGCGCCCGCCAGCACUCUGGCGGGCAUGCCUGUUCGAGCGUCAUUUCAACCCUCAGAACCCCUUGCGGGAUCUGGCGUUGGUGAUUGGCAUCCAGCCAGCCCCGAAAUCUAGUGGCGGUCCCUCCGCGACCUCCCCUGUGCAGUAGCGAUACCUCGCAGCGGGACAGCGGUCUGACCACGCCGUAAAACCCCCAACUUCUCAAGGUUGACCUCGAAUCAGGUAGGAAUACCCGCUGAACUUAAGC